CGUGAGAUGUUGGGUUAAGUCCCGCAACGAGCGCAACCCCUAUCCUUUGUUGCCAGCACGCAAUGGUGGGAACUCAAAGGAGACUGCCGCGGACAACGCGGAGGAAGGCGGGGAUGACGUCAAGUCAUCAUGCCCCUUAUGUCCUGGGCUACACACGUACUACAAUGGGAUGGACAGAGAGCAGCGAAGCCGCGAGGCCAAGCGAACCCCAUAAACCAUCUCCCAGUUCGGAUUGCAGGCUGCAACCCGCCUGCAUGAAGUCGGAACUCGCUAGUAAUCG
RNAcentral lists this ribosomal RNA (280 nucleotides) under uncultured bacterium. RNAcentral describes it as "partial 16S ribosomal RNA". It matches the Rfam family "Bacterial small subunit ribosomal RNA", at positions 1066 to 1344 of the family's 1533-position model. The record is from RNAcentral.